Molecule: ribosomal RNA, 440 nt
Filed under: uncultured bacterium
Lineage: Bacteria
Description: partial 16S ribosomal RNA
Rfam family: Bacterial small subunit ribosomal RNA
Source: RNAcentral
CCUACGGGAGGCAGCAGUGGGGGAUAUUGCACAAUGGGGGGAACCCUGAUGCAGCGACGCCGCGUGGGUGAAGGAGGGUUUCGGCGCGUAAAGCUCUAUCGGCAGGGAAGAAGAUGACGGUACCUGACCAAGAAGCCCCGGCUAACUACGUGCCAGCAGCCGCGGUAAUACGUAGGGGGCAAGCGUUAUCCGGAUGUACUGGGUGGAAAGGGGGCGCAGACGGCAAUGCAAGCCAGGCGGGAAAGCCCGGGGCCCAACCCCGGGACUGCUCUUGGAACUGCAUGGCUGGAGUACAGGAGGGGCAGGCGGAAUUCCUAGUGUAGCGGUGAAAUGCGUAGAUAUUAGGAGGAACACCGGUGGCGAAGGCGGCCUGCUGGACUGUGACUGACGUUGAGGCCCGAAGGCGUGGGGAGCAAACAGGAUUAGAUACCCUAGUAGUC